UUCUGGCUCAGGAUGAACGCUAGCUACAGGCUUAACACAUGCAAGUCGAGGGGCAUCAUGGAGUUUGCUUGCAAACUCUGAUGGCGACCGGCGCACGGGUGAGUAACGCGUAUCCAACCUUCCCUAUAGUAGAGGAUAGCCCGGCGAAAGUCGGAUUUAAUACUCUAUGUUUUCCGUUGCAGACAUCUAAGAUGGAACAAAGGCUUGCCGCUAUAGGAUGGGGAUGCGUCUGAUUAGGUAGUCGGCGGGGUAACGGCCCACCGAGCCAUCGAUCAGUAGGGUUCUGAGAGGAAGGUCCCCCACAUUGGAACUGAGACACGGUCCAAACUCCUACGGGAGGCAGCAGUGAGGAAUAUUGGUCAAUGGACGAGAGUCUGAACCAGCCAAGUAGCGUGCAGGACGACGGCCCUAUGGGUUGUAAACUGCUUUUAUGCGGGGAUAAAGUUCACUACGUGUAGUGUUUCGUAGGUACCGCAUGAAUAAGGACCGGCUAAUUCCGUGCCAGCAGCGGC
RNAcentral lists this ribosomal RNA (512 nucleotides) under uncultured bacterium. Its description in RNAcentral is "bacterial SSU rRNA". It matches the Rfam family "Bacterial small subunit ribosomal RNA", at positions 17 to 518 of the family's 1533-position model. The record is from RNAcentral.